UCAUAUGCUUUUUUUAAAGAUUAAGCCAUGCAUGUCUCAGUACACUAUUACCAAAUGGAAACCGCGAAUGGCUCAUUAAAUCAGUUAUGGUUCCUUAGAUGAAUACACCCACGUGGAUAACUGUGGGAAAUCUAGAGCUAAUACAUGCAAUGAUGCUCCGACCCUUGUGGUAGGGGCGCUUUUAUUAGACUAAAACCUUCCGGACCGCAAGGUCCGUUAGAUGGUGACUCUGGAUAACUGUGCUGAUCGCAUGGCCUCGAGCCGGCGACGUAUCUUUCAAAUGUCUGCCCUAUCAACUUUCGAUGGUAGGUGAUAUGCCUACCAUGGUCGUAACGGGUAACGGGGAAUCAGGGUUCGAUUCCGGAGAGGGAGCAUGAGAAACGGCUGCCACUUCUACGGAAGGCAGCAGGCGCGCAAAUUACCCACUCCUCGAACGGGGAGGUAGUGACGAGAAAUACCAACACGGGACUCUCUGAGCCUCCGUGAUUGGAAUGAGUACAAUUUAAAUCCUUUAACGAGGAUCAAUUGGAGGGCAAGUCUGGUGCCAGCAGCCGCGGUAAUUCCAGCUCCAAUAGCGUAUACUAAAAUUGCUGCAGUUAAAAAGCUCGUAGUUGGAUCUCGAGUAUGGGCGCGUGGUCCUUCUCAUAGUUGGCUACUGCGUGUCUGUACCUUUUUGUCAGAUUUGACCCUUGGUGCACUUCAUUGUGUGUCUUGGGAUGUCUGAAGGUUUACUUUGAAAAAAUUCGAGUGCUCAAAGCAGGCGACUGUUUGUAUUAUAUAGCAUGGAAUAAUAAAAUAGGAUCUUGGUUCUAUUUUGUUGGUUUUUGGAACUCGAGAUAAUGAUUAAGAGGGACAGACGGGGGCAUUCGUAUUACGGCGUUAGAGGUGAAAUU
This 893-nucleotide ribosomal RNA is filed under the name Symbion americanus. RNAcentral's name for it is "SSU rRNA". It matches the Rfam family "Eukaryotic small subunit ribosomal RNA", at positions 24 to 918 of the family's 1831-position model. Lineage: Eukaryota; Metazoa; Cycliophora. The record is from RNAcentral.